Helianthus annuus (common sunflower) is the source of this 191-nucleotide non-coding RNA. Lineage: Eukaryota; Viridiplantae; Streptophyta; Magnoliopsida; Asterales; Asteraceae. The record is from Rfam.
AGAGUAAUCAGGGAGCUUCUUUCAAUCCAUUCAAAGGUGGGUAGAAGAUAUGGAUUUGCUGUCGGCGCAUUCAUUCAAACACAAUAGAAACACCUUCGUUUGAACUAUUGUGGCUGUAUCAAUGAAUCGAGAGAUGAUCUUGUCUUUUUCUAUAUGUGAUUGGACUGAAGGGAGCUCCCUCGUUUAUCGUU